Molecule: ribosomal RNA, 229 nt
Filed under: uncultured bacterium
Lineage: Bacteria
Description: partial 16S ribosomal RNA
Rfam family: Bacterial small subunit ribosomal RNA
Source: RNAcentral
UGUGUAGGCGGCAUUGUAAGUAAGGUGUGAAAUCCUACGGCUUAACCGUAGAAUUGCAUCUUAUACUGCAGUGCUUGAGUGCUGGAGAGGAUAGCGGAAUUCUAGGUGUAGCGGUGAAAUGCAUAGAUAUCUAGGAGAACGCCGGUGACGAAGGUGGCUAUCUGGCCGGCAACUGACGCUGAAACACGAAAGCUAGGGGAGCGAACAGGAUUAGAUACCCUGGUAGUCC